GUCUAUGGCCAUACCACCCUGAACACGCCUGAUCUCAUCUGAUCUCGGAAGCUAAGCAGGGUCGGGCCUGGUUAGUACUUGAAUGGGAGAAAACAUUAAUACAGUCAUGGGCC
Molecule: ribosomal RNA, 113 nt
Organism: Erinaceus europaeus (western European hedgehog)
Lineage: Eukaryota; Metazoa; Chordata; Mammalia; Eulipotyphla; Erinaceidae
Source: Ensembl